RNAcentral lists this ribosomal RNA (434 nucleotides) under uncultured bacterium. RNAcentral's name for it is "bacterial SSU rRNA". It matches the Rfam family "Bacterial small subunit ribosomal RNA", at positions 64 to 537 of the family's 1533-position model. The record is from RNAcentral.
GAACGGGGUAGCAAUACCUAGUGGCGGACGGGUGAGUAACGCGUGGGAAUCUGCCCUGGGGUGGGGGAUAGCAGGCCGAAAGGCCUAUUAAUACCGCAUAUGCCGUGAGGUAAAAGGAGUAAUCCGCCCGAGGAUGAGCCUGCGUCCGAUUGGCUUGUUGGUGGGGUAAAAGCCUACCAAGGCUACGAUCGGUAGCUGGUCUGAGAGGAUGAUCAGCCACAAUGGGACUGAGACACGGCCCAUACUCCUACGGGAGGCAGCAGUGGGGAAUUUUACGCAAUGGGCGAAAGCCUGACGUAGCGACACCGCGUGAGCGAAGAAGCCCUUUGGGGUGUAAAGCUCUGUCGGCUGGAACGAAAAUAAAUAUGACGGUACCAGCAAAGGAAGCAUCGGCUAACUACGUGCCAGCAGCCGCGGUAAGACGUAGGAUGCAA